CGGAGGGUGCAAGCGUUAUCCGGAUUCACUGGGUUUAAAGGGUGCGUAGGAGGGCGGAUAAGUCAGUGGUGAAAUCUUCGAGCUUAACUCGGAAACUGCCGUUGAUACUAUUUGUCUUGAAUAUCGUGGAGGUGAGCGGAAUAUGUCAUGUAGCGGUGAAAUGCUUAGAUAUGACAUAGAACACCAAUUGCGAAGGCAGCUCGCUACACGAAUAUUGACUCUGAGGCACGAAAGCGUGGGGAUCAAACAGGAUUAGAUACCCUGGUAGUCCACGCCCUAAACUAUGGAUACUCGACAUACGCGAUACACUGUGUGUGUCUGAGCGAAAGCAUUAAGUAUCCCACCUGGGAAGUACGACCGCAAGGUUG
Molecule: ribosomal RNA, 368 nt
Filed under: uncultured organism
Description: bacterial SSU rRNA
Rfam family: Bacterial small subunit ribosomal RNA
Source: RNAcentral